AUUGAACGCUGGCGGCAGGCCUAACACAUGCAAGUCGAACGAGUGGCGGACGGGUGAGUAAUGUCUGGGAAACUGCCCGAUUGAGGGGGAUAACUACUGGAAACGGUAGCUAAUACAGCAUACCAUCGGAUGUGCCCAGAUGGGAUUGGCUAGUCGGGGGGGUAACGGCUCACCUAGGCGACGAUCCCGAGCUGGUCUGAGAGGAUGACCAGCCGCACUGGAACUGAGACACGGUCCAGACUCCUACGGGAGGCAGCAGUGGGGAAGAUUGGACAAGGGGCGCAAGCGUGAUGCAGCCAUGCCGCGUGUAUGAAGAAGGCCUUAGGGUUGUAAAGUACUUUCAGCGGGGAGGCGUUACUCGCAGAAGAAGCACCGGCUAACUACGUGCCAGCCGCCGCGGUAAUAC
This 406-nucleotide ribosomal RNA is filed under the name uncultured bacterium. RNAcentral describes it as "partial 16S ribosomal RNA". It matches the Rfam family "Bacterial small subunit ribosomal RNA", at positions 29 to 526 of the family's 1533-position model. The record is from RNAcentral.